Molecule: long non-coding RNA, 302 nt
Filed under: Sorghum bicolor (sorghum)
Lineage: Eukaryota; Viridiplantae; Streptophyta; Magnoliopsida; Poales; Poaceae
Description: long non-coding RNA (SBIC_LNC009461)
Source: RNAcentral
GGGGUAAAGUAGUCUACUCUAGAUACUUUGGGGGCUAUAUAGACUUUUUUUCAAAUAUAUAUUAAAAAGUAUUAAUAUUUAUGGUACAUAAUUAGUAUCACCGGAGAGCUUUUUAAUCUAGUUUUUUAAUAAAUUUAUUUGAAGAUACAAAUGUUGUAUGUAUUUUCUAUAAAUUUAGUUAAACUUGUGAUACCAACCUAAAACAACAAUUAUUUUAGGACGGAGGGAGUAUAUUGCCGCUGCCGGACCUGCGCCGUCACCUUGGCGCGACCUCCUCGCCAGCGGGGUCGCGGCAGACGCUG